Molecule: ribosomal RNA, 817 nt
Filed under: Rhytismatales sp.
Lineage: Eukaryota; Fungi; Ascomycota; Leotiomycetes; Rhytismatales
Description: partial large subunit ribosomal RNA
Rfam family: Eukaryotic large subunit ribosomal RNA
Source: RNAcentral
GGAUUGCCUCAGUAACGGCGAGUGAAGCGGCAAAAGCUCAAAUUUGAAAUCUGGCUCUUUUAGGGUCCGAGUUGUAAUUUGUAGAAGAUGUUUCGGGUGUGGCUCCGGUUUAAGUUCUUUGGAAUAUUACAUCAUAGAGGGUGAGAAUCCCGUAUGUGACCGGCAGCCUUCGCCUAUGUGAAACUCUUUCGACGAGUCGAGUUGUUUGGGAAUGCAGCUCAAAAUGGGAGGUAUAUUUCUUCUAAAGCUAAAUAUUGGCCAGAGACCGAUAGCGCACAAGUAGAGUGAUCGAAAGAUGAAAAGCACUUUGGAAAGAGAGUUAAACAGUACGUGAAAUUGUUGAAAGGGAAGCGCUUGCAACCAGACUUGCACGCAGUUGAUCAUCCGGUGUUCUCACCGGGGCACUCUGCUGCGUUCAGGCCAGCAUCGGUUUUGGUGGUUGGAUAAAGGCCUUGGGAAUGUGGCUUCCUUCGGGGAGUGUUAUAGCCCUCGGUGCAAUGCAGCCUACCGGGACCGAGGACCGCGCUUCGGCUAGGAUGCUGGCGUAAUGGUUGUAAGCGACCCGUCUUGAAACACGGACCAAGGAGUCUAACAUCUAUGCGAGUGUUUGGGUGUUAAACCCAUACGCGUAAUGAAAGUGAACGGAGGUGAGAACCCUUAAGGGUGCAUCAUCGACCGGUCCUGAUGUCUUCGGAUGGAUCUGAGUAAGAGCAUAGCUGUUGGGACCCGAAAGAUGGUGAACUAUGCGUGAAUAGGGUGAAGCCAGAGGAAACUCUGGUGGAGGCUCGCAGCGGUUCUGACGUGCAAAUCGAUCGUC